CCUACGGGAGGCUGCAGUGGGGAAUAUUGCACAAUGGGGGAAACCCUGAUGCAGCGACGCCGCGUGAGUGAAGAAGUAUUUCGGUAUGUAAAGCUCUAUCAGCAGGGAAGAAAUAAAGUCCUUCGGACUUUGGACGGUACCUGACUAAUAAGCCCCUGCGAACUACGUGCCAGCCGCCGCGGUAAUACGUAGGGGGCAAGCGUUAUCCGGAUUUACUGGGUGUAAAGGGAGCGUAGACGGCAACGCAAGUGUGGAGGGAAAUCCCAGGGCUUAACAAUGGAACUGGUUUGGAAACUGUGCAGCUGGAGUGCAGGAGAGGUGAGCGGAAUUCCUAGUGUAGCGGUGAAAUGCGUAGAUAUUAGGAGGAACACCAGUGGCGAAGGCGGCUUACUGGACUGUAACUGACGUUGAGGCUCGAAAGCGUGGGGAGCAAACAGGAUUAGAUACCCCAGUAGUC
RNAcentral lists this ribosomal RNA (457 nucleotides) under uncultured bacterium. RNAcentral describes it as "partial 16S ribosomal RNA". It matches the Rfam family "Bacterial small subunit ribosomal RNA", at positions 338 to 795 of the family's 1533-position model. The record is from RNAcentral.